Molecule: ribosomal RNA, 253 nt
Filed under: uncultured bacterium
Lineage: Bacteria
Description: partial 16S ribosomal RNA
Rfam family: Bacterial small subunit ribosomal RNA
Source: RNAcentral
UACAGAGGGUGCAAACGUUGUUCGGAAUUACUGGGCGUAAAGCGCGUGUAGGCGGCUAUGCAAGUCGGAUGUGAAAGCCCUCGGCUCAACCGGGGAAGUGCACCCGAAACUGCAAAGCUAGAGUCUCGGAGAGGAUCGUGGAAUUCUCGGUGUAGAGGUGAAAUUCGUAGAUAUCGAGAGGAACACCGGUGGCGAAGGCGGGUCUCUAGGCAGUAACUGACGCUGAGGAGCGAAAGCGUGGGGAGCGAACAGG